GAUGAACGCUAGCGGCAGGCCUAACACAUGCAAGUCGAGGGGUAGAGAUUAGCUUGCUAAUCUUGAGACCGGCGCACGGGUGCGUAACGCGUAUGCAACCUACCUUUUACAAAGGGAUAGCCCGGAGAAAUUCGGAUUAAUACCUUAUAGUAUUGUUGAUAAUCAUUUAUUAACAAUUAAAGUUUCGGCGGUAAAAGAUGGGCAUGCGUCCUAUUAGCUAGAUGGAGUGGUAACGGCACCCCAUGGCAACGAUAGGUAGGGGUCCUGAGAGGGAGAUCCCCCACACUGGUACUGAGACACGGACCAGACUCCUACGGGAGGCAGCAGUGAGGAAUAUUGGACAAUGGACGCAAGUCUGAUCCAGCCAUGCCGCGUGCAGGAAGACGGCCCUAUGGGUUGUAAACUGCUUUUAUACAAGAAGAAUAAGACUUACGUGUAAGUUGAUGACGGUAUUGUAUGAAUAAGCACCGCUAACU
Molecule: ribosomal RNA, 476 nt
Filed under: uncultured bacterium
Lineage: Bacteria
Description: bacterial SSU rRNA
Rfam family: Bacterial small subunit ribosomal RNA
Source: RNAcentral